This 904-nucleotide ribosomal RNA is filed under the name uncultured marine bacterium. Its description in RNAcentral is "bacterial SSU rRNA". It matches the Rfam family "Bacterial small subunit ribosomal RNA", at positions 50 to 1003 of the family's 1533-position model. The record is from RNAcentral.
AAUACAUGCAGUCGAACGAAGUAGCAAUACUUAGUGGCAGACGGGUGAGUAACAUGUAGGUAUCUUCCCAUUGGUGAGGAAUAACACGAGGAAACUUGUGCUAAUACCUCAUAAGUCUUUACGGAGAAAGCUUUAUGCGCCAAUGGAUGAGCCUGCACUUGAUUAGUUUGUUGGUAGGGUAAUGGCCUACCAAGACAAUGAUCAAUAGCUGAUUUGAGAGGAUGAUCAGCCACAUUGGGACUGAGACACGGCCCAAACUCCUACGAGAGGCAGCAGUAGGGAAUCUUGCACAAUGGGGGAAACCCUGAUGCAGCGAUGCCGCGUGAGUGAAGAAGGCCUUUGGGUUGUAAAGCUCUUUCGUCGGGGAAGAAAAUGACUGUACCCGAAUAAGAAGGUCCGGCUAACUUCGUGCCAGCAGCCGCGGUAAUACGAAGGGACCUAGCGUAGUUCGGAAUUACUGGGCUUAAAGAGUUCGUAGGUGGUUAAAAAAGUUGGUGGUGAAAUCCCAGAGCUUAACUCUGGAACUGCCAUCAAAACUUUUUAGCUAGAGUAUGAUAGAGGAAAGCAGAAUUUCUAGUGUAGAGGUGAAAUUCGUAGAUAUUAGAAAGAAUACCAAUUGCGAAGGCAGCUUUCUGGAUCAUUACUGACACUGAGGAACGAAAGCAUGGGUAGCGAAGAGGAUUAGAUACCCUCGUAGUCCAUGCCGUAAACGAUGUGUGUUAGACGUUGGAAAUUUAUUUUCUGUGUCGCAGCGAAAGCAAUAAACACACCGCCUGGGGAGUACGACCGCAAGGUUAAAACUCAAAUGAAUUGACGGGGACCCGCACAAGUAGUGGAGCAUGUGGUUUUAUUCGAAGAUACGCGCAGAACCUUACCCACACUUGACAUGUUCGUCGCGACUUUA